Molecule: ribosomal RNA, 484 nt
Filed under: uncultured bacterium
Lineage: Bacteria
Description: partial 16S ribosomal RNA
Rfam family: Bacterial small subunit ribosomal RNA
Source: RNAcentral
AUUGAACGCUGGCGGCAGGCCUAACACAUGCAAGUCGAGCGGAUGAAGGGAGCUUGCUCCUGGAUUCAGCGGCGGACGGGUGAGUAAUGCCUAGGAAUCUGCCUGGUAGUGGGGGAUAACGUCCGGAAACGGGCGCUAAUACCGCAUACGUCCUGAGGGAGAAAGUGGGGGAUCUUCGGACCUCACGCUAUCAGAUGAGCCUAGGUCGGAUUAGCUAGUUGGUGGGGUAAAGGCCUACCAAGGCGACGAUCCGUAACUGGUCUGAGAGGAUGAUCAGUCACACUGGAACUGAGACACGGUCCAUACGCCUACGGGAGGCAGCAGUGGGGAAUAUUGGACAGAGGGCGAAAGCCUGAUCCAGCCAUGCCGCGUGUGUGAAGAAGGUCUUCGGAUUGUAAAGCACUUUAAGUUGGGAGAAAGGGCAGUAAGUUGAUACCUUGCUGUUUUGACGUUACCAACAGAAUAAGCACCGGCUAACUUCGUG